This 377-nucleotide ribosomal RNA is filed under the name uncultured eukaryote. RNAcentral describes it as "partial 18S ribosomal RNA". It matches the Rfam family "Eukaryotic small subunit ribosomal RNA", at positions 592 to 976 of the family's 1831-position model. The record is from RNAcentral.
CAAUAGCGUAUAUUAAAGUUGUUGCAGUUAAAAAGCUCGUAGUUGGAUUUCUGGGCUCAGUCUUUGGUCCGUCGAAAGAUGUGCACUGACGACUGGGUCCUUUCCUCUCGACGUUCACGGGUGCUCUUAACUGAGUGUUCGUGGGACUCGGGACCUUUACUUUGAAAAAAUUAGAGUGUUCAAAGCAGGCCUUUGCUUGAAUACAUUAGCAUGGAAUAAUGGAAUAGGACUUGGGUUCUAUUUCGUUGGUUUUAGGACCGAAGUAAUGAUUAAUAGGGACAGUUGGGGGCAUUAGUAUUUAAUUGUCAGAGGUGAAAUUCUUAGAUUUAUGAAAGACUAACUACUGCGAAAGCAUUUGCCAAGGAUGUUUUCAUUAA